RNAcentral lists this ribosomal RNA (381 nucleotides) under Mycobacterium sp. AC-1. RNAcentral's name for it is "bacterial SSU rRNA". It matches the Rfam family "Bacterial small subunit ribosomal RNA", at positions 133 to 526 of the family's 1533-position model. The record is from RNAcentral. Lineage: Bacteria; Bacillati; Actinomycetota; Actinomycetes; Mycobacteriales; Mycobacteriaceae.
GCACUUUGGGAUAAGCCUGGGAAACUGGGUCUAAUACCGAAUACACCUUCCUGGUUGCAUGGCCUGGGGAGGGAAAGCUUUUGCGGUGUGGGAUGGGCCCCCGGCCUAUCAACUUGUUGGUGGGGUGAUGGCCUACCAAGGCGACCACCGGUAGCCGGCCUGAGAGGGUGUCCGGCCACACUGGGACUGAAAUACGGCCCAAACUCCUACGGGAGGCAGCAGUGGGGAAUAUUGCACAAUGGGCGCAAGCCUGAUGCAACGACCCCCCGUGAGGGAUGACCGCCUUCGGGUUGUAAACCUCUUUCCAACAUCGACAAACCCAAGUGACGGUAGAUGCAAAAGAAGCACCGGCCAACUACUUGCCAACCGCCGCGGUAAUUC